UACGUAGGUCCCGAGCGUUGUCCGGAUUUAUUGGGCGUAAAGCGAGCGCAGGUGGUUUAUUAAGUCUGGUGUAAGGCAGUGGCUCAACCAUUGUAUGCAUUGGAAACUGGUAGACUUGAGUGCAGGAGAGGAGAGUGGAAUUCCAUGUGUAGCGGUGAAAUGCGUAGAUAUAUGGAGGAACACCGGUGGCGAAAGCGGCUCUCUGGCCUGUAACUGACACUGAGGCUCGAAAGCGUGGGGAGCAAACAGG
Molecule: ribosomal RNA, 250 nt
Filed under: uncultured bacterium
Lineage: Bacteria
Description: partial 16S ribosomal RNA
Rfam family: Bacterial small subunit ribosomal RNA
Source: RNAcentral